CAGUCGCCACGGUAAUACGUAGGGUGCAAGCGUUAAUCGGAAUUACUGGGCGUAAAGCGUGCGCAGGCGGUUUGUUAAGACAGAUGUGAAAUCCCCGGGCUCAACCUGGGAACUGCAUCCAAAACUGGUGAGCUAGAGUACGGUAGAGGGUAGUGGAAUUUCCUGUGUAGCGGUGAAAUGCGUAGAUAUAGGAAGGAACACCAGUGGCGAAGGCGACUACCUGGACUGAUACUGACACUGAGGUGCGAAAGCGUGGGGAGCAAACAGGAUUAGAUACCCCUGUAGUCCCUGUCUCUUAUAC
Molecule: ribosomal RNA, 301 nt
Filed under: uncultured bacterium
Lineage: Bacteria
Description: partial 16S ribosomal RNA
Rfam family: Bacterial small subunit ribosomal RNA
Source: RNAcentral